RNAcentral lists this long non-coding RNA (3116 nucleotides) under Fukomys damarensis (Damara mole-rat). Its description in RNAcentral is "lncRNA (ENSFDAG00000030477.1)". The record is from RNAcentral. Lineage: Eukaryota; Metazoa; Chordata; Mammalia; Rodentia; Bathyergidae.
AUGAGAAGACAGGGUAUGUUGCCUACACUAGUUUCAAACUCCUGGACUCAAGCAAUCCUCCUGCUUCAGCCUCCUGAGCAGCUGGGCGUGCACCACAGCAACCAGUUCUUAAUAAAAACAAAACUAAUACACAGGGAACCGGAAGAUCCAAAGCCGCACGUCUCAGACUCAAAUGUCGAGGAGCUGGAACAGAAGCAGUGUCUGCGGCUGCCAGGUCCAGAGAGGGGAGCAGCGCAGACAGAGCCUCCGGGCACAGCCACUUCCCAGGCCAGAGAGAGAGGCCAGAGGCUGAGACGGCUCCGUCACCUUCCCCGAGAACUGUCCCAGGCAUACAGCGACUUCAAAAUGAAGAGCAGUCACCAAAAAGGGUACAGAGGGCAUGCACUCCUCCAUCAAAGGCCUGCAGCUCCCUCUUUAAACUUCAUCACCUGUGCACAGUGACAGUCCCUGAAUCCCAGCCACCCAGGAGGCUGAGACAGGAGGACGCAAAUUCAAACCCAAACUGGGCAGCUUAGCACGAUCCCGUCUCGGAAUAAAAUUAUUUUGUUUUUGUUUUGUUUUGUUUUUUGAGACAGGGUCUCACUAUGUAGUUGAGACUGACCUGGAACUCACUAUGUAGCCCAGGCUGGUCUUGAACUCACAGGGAUCCUCCGGCCUCAGCCUCUCGAGUACUGGGAUUACUGGCGUGAGCCACCACGCCCGGCUAGGAAUAAAAUUCUAAACAGGGCUGGGGGCACAUCUCAGCGUUACACCGGGGCCCUGGCUUCAUCCUCGCACUGGAAAAAAAAAUUAAGACUGGAGGCUCGAAGCAUUAAUGUUUAAGAGAAAGGGGCCGGGGAUUUAGCUCAGUGGUUCUGCCGCCUGCUUUGCAAACGCAAGAACCCGAGUUCGAUCCCCGGAACCGGUGGGAAAUUCGGACGUUGAAAAGAGCCGGCCGUCCUCCCUGCGGGAGCUGCAGCCACAUUGCGUCCCCAGGCCACAGCCGAGCUUCUGGAACUCAUCUUCAUCUUCCCUGCCAGCUGGAAGAACCCACUCUGGACUCGACAGAGCGCUCGUCCUCUCCCACCCCAACCCCGGUCCUGCUCCCGCCCGGCGGAGUAGAAAUCAGCCUAGCAACAGGUGACGUACAGGUCCGGGAGAGCGCGGGGAUUCGCGAAACCGGGCCGCAGGGGCGGGUCCGCACUCCAGGGGAGCAGACCGAGUUUCCGGGUACCGCCCGCUUCCCAGGAUCCUCUGCAUCGCGGUGCGGGCACCGCCCCCACCCCGCUGGCCUCUCCGAGCCCCUGAAGGCGAUGUCCGCCUCGUGGGGUGGCCAGGAGAGGAAGAGCGACCCACACCGCACCUGACACGAGCUCCGCACGGCACGCACGAGGCGUGAUUGGAAAAUGCCCAGAAGGCUCCCACCUUUAAAAUGUGUGGCAGAGGCCGGAUGUGAUGGUGCUAGGAGUUCAAGGCCAGCCUGGGCUGCACCGCAAGACAGUAUCUCAAAAAACAAAAACACAGGUGUGACAGUAAAGCCAGCUCUUCCUCAGCAUCUCCCCUUGCUCACAGCGAACCGGUCCCAUCACCUUGACCACUUCCUGCAGCGGCUCUGGAGUCCUCUUUCCUGUGUUUCUUCCUUGCGGUGGUGGAGUCUAGACACUGACCUUUCCUGUCAUUACCCUGGGGAAGAGCUGCAGGUCACGUGGUGCCAGAUCCAGUGAAUGAGGUGGCCGAUGACACACUGUAAUGUUUUUAUUUGACAGAAGCUACCAGUCAUGUUCAAUCAAUGAUGAUAAAAAAAUAUGGUGAAUGUUUAAAUUUUAAAAUUCAUUACAGAAAAAGACACAUUGUCGUGCAUCUCCUCGAAUAUUCAUCACACACAGUUCCUUCAGACACACUUGUCCCAUCCCAAGCCACGCAGCCUUCACAACAGUGAUUUUCUUUAAAUGGAAGCGUUUGCGGCUUUGGGGGCACCUUUGUGCCGUGGGCAGCUCACCCCAAGUUUCCUGCUUGCUGAGCCCAUACGCCUGUUGAUUUAUGUUGCCCUGCAGCAAUGGUAGGCUUGUGGUUCCACCCCCAGGUAGGGAAACAGGCACAGAGCGCUGAAUGGGGACUCCCCAGGCCACAGCUAAGGUGCAGGGCCAUGGCCAUUGUCACCAACCGUGCUGUUGUUCCUCCCUACCGUGGUGCGUUCCCUGGAGAGGUGGUUAGAGCUCUCAACAUCUCUAGUAACACUAUGGGGCAGCCAAAGUCCCAGGAAAACCAGGUUUCCAGGCAGCCCCAUUUCCUAAUCCUCCCCCUUCAGACACCCAGCUUUCUCAGGGAAGCAUCACGCAGAAGAAAAAAUGUCCUUUCCUCGCCGAAGCAGAAAGCUGAGCCUUUGGGCCCUGGGCUCUGGCCUGGACCAGGCUUCACCUCAGACCUCUGAACUUUAAGUUAAAACAGAGCUGCUCUGCACUGUGGAGCCCAGGCAGGAGCCAGCACCAAGGCCCAGCCCAGCCUCGCCCUAGAGAAGCCUUGUGAAAUAAGCCUGCCUAGACUUGGGCUUCACACGUGAAAACCUGAGCUUGCUUGUUAAUUCUGAUGGGAAAACACGGCCAGAUGAAGAGGGAAGGAUGCCUGCCUAGGAACUGAAGCCCUGUCCCCUUUGGGGGCUGAACCCAAAAGACUUGCACCCCAAGUCCCUGGAAUCGCAUAGUGAGGAACAGCAUCACAAAAAUGUCCUGCAAGACACCUGCGCCUGUGUCCUUCACCAAUGUCAGUGUCAAAACAGCAGUCAUGAAGCUGAGAAGCCAUCACAGAUUGAAAACAGACAGCCAGCUGGACGUCAUGGCGCACACCUGUAAUCCCAGCACUUGGGAGGCUGAGGCAAGAUCAUGGACAAAUGAAGCUUCACUGGGAGCCAGAAAAAGAAAAUCAAAGAAAUUAUUGGGUCAAUUGACAAAUUUAAAUUAUUGGGGCAACUGAGAAAUUUAAAUUUGGGCUCCAUAUCAGAAAUUGUAUGAAUGUAACUGUACUGUAUACCUAAAAUGUACCAGUAAAUUCAAUUUAAAAAAAAAAGAAAUCGUAAGGUUUCCUGAAUUUAGCUACAAUGAAAUCAUACAGUACAAACGGUGAAGUCAUGAUGCAUGUAG